GUAUAACCCCAGGAUUCUGCACUUGCCCAAGGGCGAGGUGCAAAUCAAAAACUACGCACAACUGAACACCGAGAUCAGGAUCCCGACUCAGAUUGAAAAAGCAGAGGAUGGUCACUGCCUUCCAGGUCUGAGGCUGUCUCCCAGAAACUUCAUUCCUCGCUUCGCCUUGGUUCUCCAUCACUUUCUGAGUCCUACAGGAGGAAAGUGCUAUUGAAGAUGAGGCGCGUAUGGCGUGAAGUUCUGGGGCUGGGAGAAGCUGCCCCGCUACUUCCGGGUGGCCUUGCCUGCAGGGAGCAGUUCACAACCUAGUGCUGUCCACUUGCAUGGGAUGUUUCUUUUCCAUCACAAUGCUCUGAGAUAACGAAGUCGAGGGAAGUUUGUGCAGCCCUCCAGACCCUCCAGAUUUCAAAGGAAAGCCCACCGCUGCUGGUCUGGGGGAGCUGAUGGCCUAUUCAUGGAUGAGAUGGACUAAGGACAGUGGGAAGCACAAUGGACCAACAGUAUUGUUGGAGGGGACUGCGUGAGGAAGCAGGAGCCUAAACAACACUCUCCAGAUACUGCGUGAA
Molecule: long non-coding RNA, 566 nt
Filed under: Homo sapiens (human)
Lineage: Eukaryota; Metazoa; Chordata; Mammalia; Primates; Hominidae
Description: HSALNT0334796
Source: RNAcentral